RNAcentral lists this ribosomal RNA (548 nucleotides) under uncultured fungus. RNAcentral's name for it is "eukaryotic LSU rRNA". The stretch from base 197 to 350 matches the Rfam family "5.8S ribosomal RNA". Lineage: Eukaryota; Fungi. The record is from RNAcentral.
CUCCGUAGGUGAACCUGCGGAGGGAUCAUUACACAAAUAUGAAGGCGGGCUGGAACCUCUCGGGGUUACAGCCUUGCCGAAUUAUUCACCCUUGUCUUUUGCGUACUUCUUGUUUCCUUGGUGGGUUCGCCCACCACUAGGACAAACAUAAACCUUUUGUAAUUGCAAUCAGCGUCAGUAACAAAUUAAUAAUUACAACUUUCAACAACGGAUCUCUUGGUUCUGGCAUCGAUGAAGAACGCAGCGAAAUGCGAUAAGUAGUGUGAAUUGCAGAAUUCAGUGAAUCAUCGAAUCUUUGAACGCACAUUGCGCCCUUUGGUAUUCCAAAGGGCAUGCCUGUUCGAGCGUCAUUUGUACCCUCAAGCUUUGCUUGGUGUUGGGCGUCUUGUCUCUAGCUUUGCUGGAGACUCGCCUUAAAGUAAUUGGCAGCCGGCCUACUGGUUUCGGAGCGCAGCACAAGUCGCACUCUCUAUCAGCAAAGGUCUAGCAUCCAUUAAGCCUUUUUUUCAACUUUUGACCUCGGAUCAGGUAGGGAUACCCGCUGAACU